RNAcentral lists this ribosomal RNA (252 nucleotides) under uncultured bacterium. RNAcentral's name for it is "partial 16S ribosomal RNA". It matches the Rfam family "Bacterial small subunit ribosomal RNA", at positions 524 to 776 of the family's 1533-position model. The record is from RNAcentral.
UACGAAGGGGGCUAGCGUUGCUCGGAAUCACUGGGCGUAAAGGGUGCGUAGGCGGGCCUUUAAGUCAGGGGUGAAAUCCUGGAGCUCAACUCCAGAACUGCCUUUGAUACUGAAGAUCUUGAGUCCGGGAGAGGUAGUGGAACUGCGAGUGUAGAGGUGAAAUUCGUAGAUAUUCGCAAGAACACCAGUGGCGAAGGCGGCUCACUGGCCCGGUACUGACGCUGAGGCACGAAAGCGUGGGGAGCAAACAGG